CAGUAGCCGCGGUAAUACGUAGGUGGCAAGCGUUGUCCGGAAUUAUUGGGCGUAAAGCGCGCGCAGGUGGUUUAAUAAGUCUGAUGUGAAAGCCCACGGCUCAACCGUGGAGGGUCAUUGGAAACUGUUAAACUUGAGUGCAGGAGAGAAAAGUGGAAUUCCUAGUGUAGCGGUGAAAUGCGUAGAGAUUAGGAGGAACACCAGUGGCGAAGGCGGCUUUUUGGCCUGUAACUGACACUGAGGCGCGAAAGCGUGGGGAGCAAACAGGAUUAGAUACCCCCGUAGUCCCUGUCUCUUAUAU
Molecule: ribosomal RNA, 301 nt
Filed under: uncultured bacterium
Lineage: Bacteria
Description: partial 16S ribosomal RNA
Rfam family: Bacterial small subunit ribosomal RNA
Source: RNAcentral